Molecule: ribosomal RNA, 496 nt
Filed under: uncultured bacterium
Lineage: Bacteria
Description: partial 16S ribosomal RNA
Rfam family: Bacterial small subunit ribosomal RNA
Source: RNAcentral
AUUGAACGCUGGCGGAAUGCUUUACACAUGCAAGUCGAACGGUAGAGGGGGCAACCCCUCGAGAGUGGCGAACGGGUGAGCAAUGUAUCGGAACGUGCCCAGUCGUGGGGGAUAACGUAGUGAAAAUUGCGCUAAUACCGCAUACGAUCUAUGGAUGAAAGCGGGGGAUCGCAACACCUCGCGCGAUUGGACCGGCCGAUAUCAGAUUAGGUCGUUGGUGGGGUAAAGGCCCACCAAGCAAACGAUCUGUAGCUGGUCUGAGAGGACGACCAGCCACACUGGAACUGAGACACGGUCAAGACUCCUACGGGAGGCAGCAGUGGGGAAUUUUGGACAAUGGGCGAAAGCCUGAUCCAGCCAUUCCGCGUGCAGGAUGAAGGCCCUCGGGUUGUAAACUGCUUUUGUACAGAACGAAAAGGUUUCUACUAAUACUAGGAGCUCAUGACGGUACUGUAAGAAUAAGCACCGGCUAACUACGUGCCAGCCGCCGCAGUAA